GUCUUUGUGGUGUAGUGGUCAGCACGCUCGACGCGUAACCGAGAGGUCCGUGGUUCGAUUCCCGGCGAAGGCG
Molecule: transfer RNA, 73 nt
Filed under: Stegodyphus mimosarum
Lineage: Eukaryota; Metazoa; Arthropoda; Arachnida; Araneae; Eresidae
Rfam family: tRNA
About the family: Transfer RNA (tRNA) molecules are approximately 80 nucleotides in length. Their secondary structure includes four short double-helical elements and three loops (D, anti-codon, and T loops).
Source: Rfam by way of RNAcentral